GACGAACGCUGGCGGCGUGCCUAAUACAUGCAAGUAGAACGCUGAAGGAGGAGCUUGCUUCUCUGGAUGAGUUGCGAACGGGUGAGUAACGCGUAUGUAACCUGCCUUGUAGCGGGGGAUAACUAUUGGAAACGAUAGCUAAUACCGCAUAAUAGCAGUUGUUGCAUGACAACUGUUUGAAAGUUGCAAUUGCACCACUACCAGAUGGCCCUGCGUUGUAUUAGCUAGUUGGUGGGGUAACGGCUCACCAAGGCGACGAUACAUAGCCGACCUGAGAGGGGGAUCGGCCAACCUUGGACUGAGAACAGGCCCAGAACUCUAAGGGAGGGAGCAGGAGGGAAACAUCGGAAAUGGACGGCAGGCUGAACGAGCAAAGACGCGUGAGGGAAGAAGGGUGUCGGAUCGUAAAGGUCUGUUGUAAGAGAAGAAAGAGUGUGAGAGUGGAAAGUUCACAUUGUGACGGUAUCUUAACAGAAAGGGACGGCUAACUACGUG
RNAcentral lists this ribosomal RNA (495 nucleotides) under uncultured bacterium. Its description in RNAcentral is "partial 16S ribosomal RNA". It matches the Rfam family "Bacterial small subunit ribosomal RNA", at positions 28 to 507 of the family's 1533-position model. The record is from RNAcentral.